AAACUGUCAGAGGUGCUCAUGGGUGGCCCAAGAACAAGGAAACUGAAGUGGCCUCACCAAGGGGGUCAGCCUCUGUUUCUGCUGAUGCUAUGUAAUACUGAGUGUGGAUCCUCUGCUCUGUGGGUGGUGCUCUGUGGCAACGGGCUGUCAGAGUGGACCAGUACUCUGAAGAGGAAAAAAUUAUCUGUGUGAAGAAACAUGGAUUCACUUCAAACCUGUCCUUUCCGAGCUACACUGAGUAAACUGGGACAGCUUCCGGUCCUCCAUCCAGGUCACAACCCCACCCCCACAGUCCUCUGGGUAAACUCUGGUAUGAAAAAUUCAUUUCGGAUUUGACCAAGGAGCUCAGAAGUUUAUGUGAUGGGGAGCAUAGACUAUAUCUUGGGAACAAUUAGGUCUUCAAGAGGUCUCCAUCCUCUGCCUACUUACAAACAGAACACAGCUCAGGUGUUCUGUCCUACACCGGGAGGAAGAAAUGCUACACAGAGAGGCUGAGAAGAAUCUGAACAAACAGGCCUUGCUGGAUUUCCCCUUCAGUUUAUUGCCAUUUGCUUGCACUUUUUGUCGAAUCACAUUUCUACAUGGUGUUAACCAAACAUAAAAUACAGUUUUCCCUGGGUCUUUGCAUCUUCAUUUCUGAAGGUUCCCCUGUCACAUAAAAUGUUGAUUAAAUAAAUUUGUUACAUUUUUCCCUUGCUAAUCUGUCUUUUGUUAUAGGAGAGUUGGCUGUGACCCUUGUGAUGAAUGAGAAGAGGUAUUACCUUUUCACCCCUACACUCCCAUGGGUAUGUCCAGGGUUACACACAAUUCCUCACAUGCUAACUAAGACACCAUCCCACAAGAAAGCCUAUCAGUAGACAAUUGCAUGACACUGACAUUAUUAUAAUUGGAAACUUAAAUCUGUUGUAUAUAUUAAAUUGUGUUAAAAUACAUAUAACAUAAAGUUUACCAUCUUAACCAUUUUAAAAUGAACAGUUUGGUGGCUGGGCGUGGUGGCUCAUGCCUGUAAUCCCAGCAUUCUGGGAGGCCGAGGUGGGCGGAUCACGAGGUCAGGAGAUCAAGACCAUUCUGUGAAUGGUGAAACCCUGUCUCUACUAAAAAUACAAAAAAUUAGCCUGGCGUGGUGGCAGGUGCCUCUAGUCCCAGCUACUCGGG
RNAcentral lists this long non-coding RNA (1155 nucleotides) under Homo sapiens (human). RNAcentral describes it as "non-protein coding lnc-ME3-4:1". Lineage: Eukaryota; Metazoa; Chordata; Mammalia; Primates; Hominidae. The record is from RNAcentral.